GGUUGUGGCUCAGUGGUAGAGCUCUUGUCUAGCAUAUGCAAGGCCCUGGGUUCGAUCCUCAGCACCA
RNAcentral lists this transfer RNA (67 nucleotides) under Marmota monax (woodchuck). Its description in RNAcentral is "tRNA.Ala". The record is from RNAcentral. Lineage: Eukaryota; Metazoa; Chordata; Mammalia; Rodentia; Sciuridae.